Non-coding RNA from Pan troglodytes (chimpanzee), 83 nucleotides. Lineage: Eukaryota; Metazoa; Chordata; Mammalia; Primates; Hominidae. The record is from Rfam.
GUCAGGAUGGCUGAGCAGUCUGAGGGGCUGCGUUCAGGUCGCGGUCUGCCCUGGAGGCGUGGGUUCGAAUCCCACUCCUGAAA